ACGGCCACCUAUAGCAUUGGGCGGGGCAGAGCCCUGAGGGCCGCUGGCCAAUUGGCGCGCUCGUCUGAAUGGCGUUUGGCGCGGAGCAGUGACGGCUGGGAUAAUAGCGAGGCAGCAGUGCCGCUCUUAGAGGGUCCGGGCUCAGAGGGGCCAUGAUUCGGAGGGUUCUGCCGCACGGCUUGGGCCGGGGCCUCUUGACCCGGAAGCCAGGCACGCGCAGAGGAGGCUUUUCUCUGGGUUUUGUCUCUUCAUCUCAACGCAUGUUGACCACAGAUGACAAAGCGGUGGUCUUGAAAAGGAUCCAUAAAGUCCACGUGAAGAUGGACUGCAGCCUGGAGUACCAGCCUGUGGAAUGCGCCAUUGUGGUCAACGCAGCCGGAGCCUGGUCUGCGCAAAUCGCAGCGCUGGCUGGUAUUGGAGAGGGGCCACCUGGCACCCUGCAGGGCACCAAGCUACCUGUGGAGCCGAGGAAAAGGUAUGUGUAUGUAUGGCACUGCCCCCAGGGACCAGGCCUAGAGACUCCGCUUGUUGCAGACACCAGUGGAGCCUAUUUUCGCCG
Molecule: small RNA, 559 nt
Filed under: Pongo abelii (Sumatran orangutan)
Lineage: Eukaryota; Metazoa; Chordata; Mammalia; Primates; Hominidae
Description: processed transcript
Source: RNAcentral